UGGUGGUGUGAAUUGUCUGGUUGAUUCCGUUAACGAACGAGACCUUUGCUAGUAAAUAGUCACGAGAAAGUGGUGCGUCAAGGUGUAAUGGGCCAACUGCUGGAAGGAUCCGUUCCCCAAUGGUUGCCGAUCCGUUGCAUUGCAUUUUUUCUUGGAAGUACUUCCUACUGGGACUAUCUGUAUCAAGCAGAUGGAAGUUGAAGGCCAAAACA
RNAcentral lists this ribosomal RNA (212 nucleotides) under uncultured eukaryote. Its description in RNAcentral is "partial 18S ribosomal RNA". It matches the Rfam family "Eukaryotic small subunit ribosomal RNA", at positions 1299 to 1458 of the family's 1831-position model. The record is from RNAcentral.